CAGAGUUGCAAAACUCCCUAAACCAUCGCUGAAUCGUUACCGUAACGUUGCCUCGGCGCUGGCGGUCCCGGAGGUCCUCCGGGCGCCCCCUCGGGUCUCCCCUCGCGGAGGCUGCCCGCCGGAGGUGCCUACCAAACUCUUGAUAUUUUAUGGCCUCUCUGAGUAUACUUUAAUAAGUCA
Molecule: unclassified non-coding RNA, 180 nt
Filed under: soil metagenome
Description: partial internal transcribed spacer 1
Source: RNAcentral